AUUGAACGCUGGCGGCAUGCCUAACACAUGCAAGUCGAACGAGAAAAGGGGGCAACCCCUGAGUAAAGUGGCGGACGGGUGAGUAAUACGUAGGAAUCUGCCUUAGAGUGGGGGAUAACCACGCGAAAGCGUGAUUAAUACCGCAUAAUCUUUGCGAAGCAAAGGGGGCUAGCAAUAGCUCUCGCUCUAAGAUGAGCCUACGUCGGAUUAGCUAGUUGGUAGGGUAAUGGCCUACCAAGGCGACGAUCCGUAGCUGGUUUGAGAGAACGACCAGCCACACUGGGACUGAGAUACGGCCCAGACUCCUACGGGAGGCAGCAGUGGGGAAUAUUGGACAAUGGGCGAAAGCCUGAUCCAGCAAUGCCGCGUGUGUGAUGAAGGCCUGCGGGUUGUAAAGCACUUUCGUUGGGGAAGAAAUACUUAAAGCUAAUACCUUUGAGGGUUGACGUUACCCAAAGAAGAAGCACCGGCUAACUCUGUGCCAGCAGCCGCCGUAA
RNAcentral lists this ribosomal RNA (497 nucleotides) under uncultured bacterium. Its description in RNAcentral is "partial 16S ribosomal RNA". It matches the Rfam family "Bacterial small subunit ribosomal RNA", at positions 30 to 523 of the family's 1533-position model. The record is from RNAcentral.